GUGGAAGCUUUAUUGCUGGCAAAAGUGUCCAUAACCAGAGGGUAUAUCAGCUGUUUUGGUGAACCCUUCCCGCAUCUGAACUGGCUGACACAGAGGGCACAGCAUGAUCAUAGGUAUGUUUUGAUGUGAGAGAGGAAGCCAAUCCCGUCAUCGCCACCUUACCCACUCUUAAGAUAUCCUUCGGGCCAACUGGGGGCCCAAGGCUGGUUAGGAGACGCCACAAUUGUGAUGAAUUGAGAGAAUAUU
Molecule: non-coding RNA, 246 nt
Organism: Salmo salar (Atlantic salmon)
Lineage: Eukaryota; Metazoa; Chordata; Actinopteri; Salmoniformes; Salmonidae
Source: RefSeq, a predicted model, not a curated record